GACGAACGCUGGCGGCGUGCUUAACACAUGCAAGUCGAACGGAAAGGCCCUGCUUUUGUGGGGUGCUCGAGUGGCGAACGGGUGAGUAACACGUGAGUAACCUGCCCUUGACUUUGGGAUAACUUCAGGAAACUGGGGCUAAUACCGGAUAGGAGCUCCUGCUGCAUGGUGGGGGUUGGAAAGUUUCGGCGGUUGGGGAUGGACUCGCGGCUUAUCAGCUUGUUGGUGGUGUAGUGGCUUACCAAGGCUUUGACGGUUAGACGGCCUGAGAGGGUGACCGGCAGUAUCGGACUUCUGAUGCAACACAGCACUGUAAAGGUAGCAGCAGUAGGCAACAUUGAAGAAUGGCCGCGUAGCUGUGGAAGUAAGACGGCGUGAGGAAUGACCGCCUGCGGGUUGGAAACCGCUUUCGCCGGUGAGGAAGCGUGGGGGGCGGUGAUGGGUAAUGAAGCACGCGCUAACUACGUG
Molecule: ribosomal RNA, 468 nt
Filed under: uncultured bacterium
Lineage: Bacteria
Description: partial 16S ribosomal RNA
Rfam family: Bacterial small subunit ribosomal RNA
Source: RNAcentral